RNAcentral lists this ribosomal RNA (427 nucleotides) under uncultured bacterium. RNAcentral's name for it is "bacterial SSU rRNA". It matches the Rfam family "Bacterial small subunit ribosomal RNA", at positions 355 to 774 of the family's 1533-position model. The record is from RNAcentral.
UGGGGAAUUUUGGACAAUGGGCGCAAGCCUGAUCCAGCAAUGCCGCGUGCAGGAUGAAGGCCUUCGGGUUGUAAACUGCUUUUGUACGGAGCGAAAAGGUCUGCCCUAAUACGGUGGGCUCAUGACGGUACCGUAAGAAUAAGCACCGGCUAACUACGUGCCAGCAGCCGCGGUAAUACGUAGGGUGCAAGCGUUAAUCGGAAUUACUGGGCGUAAAGCGUGCGCAGGCGGUUAUGCAAGACAGAGGUGAAAUCCCCGGGCUCAAGCGGGGAACUGCCUUUGUGACUGCAUAACUAGAGUAUGGCAGAGGGGGGUGGAAUUCAACGUGUAGCAGUGAAAUGCGUAGAGAUGUGGAGGAACACCGAUGGCGAAGGCAGACCCCUGAGCCAAUACUGAAGCUCAUGCACGAAAGCGUGGGGAGCAAACA